Molecule: long non-coding RNA, 199 nt
Filed under: Lathyrus oleraceus (garden pea)
Lineage: Eukaryota; Viridiplantae; Streptophyta; Magnoliopsida; Fabales; Fabaceae
Description: Pisum sativum (pea) long non-coding RNA (PSAT_LNC026837)
Source: RNAcentral
GGGACUCCAGGGCAGUUAAUCUUACCAAUCCCCUUGAUUUCACCCUUUGCUCCAUCACCAAAGGUUACAUAGCUGGUGGCAUGAGGAUGAAGGCCAGCUAGCAGGUUUUUGUUUUCAGUCAUGUGUCUGGAGCACCCACUAUCAAAAUACCAGUAUUCUUUGACUGAAACUCUGAAGGAAGUGUGAGCUAUCAGGUUUG